AACUGGAGGGUUCGGCAAUAAAUCACAAUGCGGGACUAUCAGUCUUGCAAUUGGAUUGAGAACAAUGUACAACUCUUAUCGAUAAGCCAUUGGAGGGCAAGUCUGGUGCCAGCAGCCGCGGUAAUUCCAGCUCCAAUAGCGUAUAUUAACGUUGUUGCAGUUAAAAAGCUCGUAGUUGAAGUGUGGGUGAUCGCUGUUGUGAGACUUCGGUCUCUCGACAGUAAGUCACCCCCUUCCAGUAUCCAGUAGUGGGUAUUCAGUUACUUACUAUUGUGUGUUGGUCCUUUACUGUGAGAAAAUUAGAGUGUUCAAAGCAGGCGUUUGCUUGAAUAGAUUAGCAUGGAAUAAUAAUUGAAGGCUUUCGUGUUCGAUUUGAUUGGUUUGUUCAUGGAAGCAAGGUUAAAAGGAACAGUUGGGGGUAUUCAUAUUCACUAGUAGUAGGGAACUGUCUCCUC
This 455-nucleotide ribosomal RNA is filed under the name Blastocystis sp. RNAcentral describes it as "SSU rRNA". It matches the Rfam family "Eukaryotic small subunit ribosomal RNA", at positions 456 to 926 of the family's 1831-position model. Lineage: Eukaryota; Bigyra; Opalinata; Blastocystidae. The record is from RNAcentral.